GGAGAAGAUACACUAGGUGGUUAUGCCCUCACUCUCAUAGACUCCUUGGAUACAUUAGCAUUACUUGGCGAUCGUGAGCGAUUUACUGCAGCUGUUGAAUGGAUUGUUAGUAAUGUUCAAUUUGAUAUUAACAAAACAGUUUCAGUAUUUGAGACAACUAUAAGGAUUCUGGGAGGUCUGCUCUCUGCCCAUCUUAUUGCCAGUGAUUAUGCC
This 213-nucleotide unclassified non-coding RNA is filed under the name Hevea brasiliensis (rubber tree). The record is from RNAcentral. Lineage: Eukaryota; Viridiplantae; Streptophyta; Magnoliopsida; Malpighiales; Euphorbiaceae.